UACGUAGGGGGCAAGCGUUGUCCGGAUUUAUUGGGCGUAAAGAGCGUGUAGGCGGCCUGAAAGGUCAGCUGUGAAAACUCGAGGCUCAACCUCGAGACGUCGGUUGAAACCAUCUGGCUAGAGUCCGGAAGAGGAGUGUGGAAUUCCCGGUGUAGCGGUGAAAUGCGCAGAUAUCGGGGAAGAACACCCGUGGCGAAGGCGGCACUCUGGGACGGUACUGACGCUGAGACGCGAAAGCGUGGGGAGCGAACAGG
This 254-nucleotide ribosomal RNA is filed under the name uncultured bacterium. RNAcentral describes it as "partial 16S ribosomal RNA". It matches the Rfam family "Bacterial small subunit ribosomal RNA", at positions 524 to 776 of the family's 1533-position model. The record is from RNAcentral.